GCGCCCUUAGCUCAGUUGGUAGAGCAUCUGACUUUUAAUCAGGUGGUCGCUGGUUCGAACCCAGCAGGGCGCA
This 73-nucleotide transfer RNA is filed under the name Thiohalocapsa sp. PB-PSB1. Its description in RNAcentral is "uncultured Thiohalocapsa sp. PB-PSB1 tRNA". It matches the Rfam family "tRNA". From Rfam's summary of the family: Transfer RNA (tRNA) molecules are approximately 80 nucleotides in length. Their secondary structure includes four short double-helical elements and three loops (D, anti-codon, and T loops). Lineage: Bacteria; Pseudomonadati; Pseudomonadota; Gammaproteobacteria; Chromatiales; Chromatiaceae. The record is from Rfam by way of RNAcentral.